UAUCAAUGCAAAUUGAUCACUUAUGUUACAAAAACAUUGUAUCAACCAUAAGCUGUGCUAUAAAACCUUUUAAUGGUACAUACAUUAAGGAUUCUUAAUAGUACUUGGUUGCUAGUGCAUCUUGGAGUCUUGAAUUGGCUUAAUGCUGCUCCAUUUCCAAUAAAAUGUUCCAAAAUCUUCUUGAAAGUACCUCUUUCCACAAUGCAAAGUUCUAAUGGUCCAAUUGAAUUUGUUUUUCUUGAUACAACAUAUCCAUGAUCAACAAAAGAUGCAUCCAUCUCCCUACAACACUCUCCAAAAACAUUUUCAUCAACAUCACCUUUGAUUUCCCAAUAGAUCACAUAAUGGCCUGGUCUUUUUGAUACAUUUGCAUGGCUUGUGAAGUCUACUAGCUCAGCUCUUGACUUGCUUAUUAGUAUUCGCGAACCUCUCUCCACCACUAACUGAAGGUCCUGUUCAGUAUUCUUAUCGAUGUUUACUGUUAAUAUCAGCUUUCUCCUGCAUAUAAAGUUGAGUUUGGGGGUCUUCUUGUGGAAACCAGCAACUUCUACUACAUCCCCUAGUCUAUACCGAUAAAGACCUGUGAAAGUAGUGAGGACAAUUUCAUAUUCUUGUCCUAUCUUGACUUGAGAUAAGGGAACAGGCUCAUCUUCAAUAAAAUCAUCAUUUGCUAGAAGAUUAGCAUCUUUGUGGCUAUUAUUGUAACUUUGAGACUUACUUCUAUGUAGUGGUAUGAAUUCAAAGUAAGAAAAAGUGGGUAUAAUUGCAAAAGUUACUUUCUCUGGUGGAGAUGAAGGUUCCACAUUCACUCCAAUCCAACUCUCUGUGGACCCAUAAUCAGCACUAACCAAAGGCAAAUCCCCACAAUAAUGUCUUAAUUUGUUCAAGUAUGGUUGCAUUGAGCCUGUCAUUAUUGUGUAAACAUAUUUAACAUUUGGCCAUAAUUUUGGGAUUAUACUAACCCAAUUUUCCUUUUCUACUUCUUCACAUAUUGAUUCAAUUCUUGAUGCCAACUCUGGAUUAGGGACAAUCAUACCUAAUAGGACUUUUCGAACUUUGGUUAUGUUGAUUCUUGAAGUAAGAGUACCUUCUCUUAUAUCAUGACACAAUUCCUUCCACAACUCUUCAAAUGAUCUGAAUGCUUGAACUAUACUAUAUGCAAAAGUUGAUGUGACAAAUUCAAUCUCAUCACAAUAAUAUAAACCAAGAAGUAGAUGACAAUAUGUUGAUUGUUUAUAAUCUCCACUUGAAAUAACUUCCUCAGGGCUACAAGUAAAAGACUUUGUGUGUUGUUGUUUAAUCUUGAAUUCUUCACUAGCAUAAUAAUGUGUUGUGGCUGUUCCUGCUAUUAAUCCCCCUUUUGUUUUGGUUUGUUUGCUACUAUAUAUAAAUUCAAGAACUUUUCCACCUUCUCUUAUUGAAUAAAUCCUUGAUCUAUAAGCUGCUGCCAAUUUGAAAAUUUGAAGAGUUGUUUGGGAGCUAUGAUGAGUAAAUGGUACAAAUUUCUGUCUUCCCUCUGUGGUUCCAGAACUUAAGGACAAAGUUCUCAUAGGGUCUUGAGUGAGUAAAGGAGCUUUUUCACCAUCAGCAAUUCUAUGUAUAUAAGGCUCAAAAUCUGCAUGAGAAGCAAGAGGAACCAUAGUAGCAUAAAGUGAUUCCAUAGCAUUUUCAUCUUGAAGUCUAAUAUCUCCAAGCCAUUUUUUUAGGUACUCAACACCAUGGUUGAGUUCAAGAAUCCGCCGAAGCGUCUGCCGCUGUACAGCGGCAGCAUUUUCGGCGGAUUUUUCGAACCAAUUGAUCAUUUCAUCAGUGUCAGUGUAAUAAUUGGACUUAUCUAGUG
This 1840-nucleotide unclassified non-coding RNA is filed under the name Hevea brasiliensis (rubber tree). The record is from RNAcentral. Lineage: Eukaryota; Viridiplantae; Streptophyta; Magnoliopsida; Malpighiales; Euphorbiaceae.